CCUCUCAUGGCGUAGUGGUAACGCGCCCCAACUAGAGAUCGCGGAGUCGUUAGUUCGAUUCUCACUGAGAAGA
RNAcentral lists this transfer RNA (73 nucleotides) under Aedes aegypti (yellow fever mosquito). It matches the Rfam family "tRNA". Rfam says of the family: Transfer RNA (tRNA) molecules are approximately 80 nucleotides in length. Their secondary structure includes four short double-helical elements and three loops (D, anti-codon, and T loops). The record is from Rfam by way of RNAcentral. Lineage: Eukaryota; Metazoa; Arthropoda; Insecta; Diptera; Culicidae.